This 69-nucleotide transfer RNA is filed under the name Marmota marmota marmota (Alpine marmot). It matches the Rfam family "tRNA". Rfam says of the family: Transfer RNA (tRNA) molecules are approximately 80 nucleotides in length. Their secondary structure includes four short double-helical elements and three loops (D, anti-codon, and T loops). Lineage: Eukaryota; Metazoa; Chordata; Mammalia; Rodentia; Sciuridae. RNAcentral also lists the same sequence under 1 other name. The record is from Rfam by way of RNAcentral.
GGGAUUGUAGCUCAGUGGUAGAGCACUCAUCUGGCAUGUGUGAGGCACUAGGUUUGAUCCACAGUGCCA